Molecule: long non-coding RNA, 1172 nt
Organism: Amphiprion ocellaris (clown anemonefish)
Lineage: Eukaryota; Metazoa; Chordata; Actinopteri; Pomacentridae
Source: Ensembl
GUGAGAGAAAGGGGAUAGAGGAAAAAAAGACUAAGUGUGAGAGAAAAGGGGAUAGAGGAAAAAAAGACUAAGUGUGAGAGAAAAGGGGAUAGAGGAAAAAAAGACUAAGUGUGAGAGAAAAGGGGAUAGAGGAAAAAAAGACUAAGUGUGAGAAAAAAGGGGAUAGAGGAAAAAAGACUAAGUGAGAGAAAAGGGGAUAGAGGAAAAAAAGACUAAGUGUGAGAGGAAAAAAAGACUAAGUGUGAGAGGAAAAAAGACUAAGGAAAGAGUGAGGAAAGAGGAAAAAGAACAAAGUGCUGCUUUACUCUUGUGUUUGAUUGUUUCAGAUGCUGAGAGAUCAAGCGGUGGACGUUCAUAGAGGAGAGAUGCUGAGAGACCAAGUGGUGGACGUCCAGAGAGGAGAGAUCCUGAGAGAUCAAGUGGUGGACGUCCAGAGAGGAGAGGUCCUGAGAGAUCAAGUGGUGGACGUCCAUAGAGGAGAGAUCCUGAGAGAUCAAGUGGUGGACGUCCAGAGAGGAGAGAUCCUGAGAGACCAAGUGAUGGACGUCCAGAGAGGAGAGAUGCUGAGAGACCAAGCGGUGGACGUCCAGAGAGCAGAGGUGAGUUACACAUUGUCACACAUUGCUGCUUUAUUCAUGUGUUUGAUUGUUUCAGAUGCUGAGAGACCAAGUGGUGGACGUCCAGAGAGGAGAGAUCCUGAGAGAACAAGUGGUGGACGUCCAGAGAGGAGAGAUCCUGAGAGACCAAGUGGUGGACGUCCAGAGAGGAGAGAUCCUGAGAGAUCAAGUGGUGGACGUCCAGAGAGGAGAGAUCCUGAGAGAUCAAGUGGUGGACGUCCAGAGAGGAGAGGUGAGUUAAACAUUGUCACACAUUGCUGCUUUAUUCAUGUGUUUGAUUGUUUCAGAUGCUGAGAGACCAAGCGGUGGACGUCCAGAGAGGAGAGAUCCUGAGAGAUCAAGUGCUGGACGUCCAGAGAGCAGAGGUGAGUUACACAUUGUCACACAUUGCUGCUUCAUUCAUGUGUUUGUUUGUUUCAUAUGCUGAGAGACCAAGUGGUGGACGUCCAGAGAGAAGAGAUCCUGAGAGAUCAAGUGGUGGACGUCCAGAGAGGAGAGGUGAGUUAGACAUUGUCACACAUUGCAGACAGUAGACUUUGUUGCUUUACUUAUGUG